This 478-nucleotide ribosomal RNA is filed under the name uncultured organism. Its description in RNAcentral is "partial 16S ribosomal RNA". It matches the Rfam family "Bacterial small subunit ribosomal RNA", at positions 332 to 801 of the family's 1533-position model. The record is from RNAcentral.
UACACUCCUGCGGGAGGCAGCAGUGGGGAAUUUUGGACAAUGGGCGAAAGCCUGAUCCAGCAAUGCCGCGUGUGUGAAGAAGGCCUUCGGGUUGUAAAGCACUUUUGUCCGGAAAGAAAUCCUUGGCUCUAAUACAGUCGGGGGAUGACGGUACCGGAAGAAUAAGCACCGGCUAACUACGUGCCAGCAGCCGCGGUAAUACGUAGGGUGCGAGCGUUAAUCGGAAUUACUGGGCGUAAAGCGUGCGCAGGCGGUUUGCUAAGACCGAUGUGAAAUCCCCGGGCUCAACCUGGGAACUGCAUUGGUGACUGGCAGGCUAGAGUAUGGCAGAGGGGGGUAGAAUUCCACGUGUAGCAGUGAAAUGCGUAGAGAUGUGGAGGAAUACCGAUGGCGAAGGCAGCCCCCUGGGCCAAUACUGACGCUCAUGCACGAAAGCGUGGGGAGCAAACAGGAUUAGAAACCCCGGUAGUCCCAUGAU